RNAcentral lists this ribosomal RNA (300 nucleotides) under uncultured bacterium. Its description in RNAcentral is "bacterial SSU rRNA". It matches the Rfam family "Bacterial small subunit ribosomal RNA", at positions 1082 to 1382 of the family's 1533-position model. The record is from RNAcentral.
AAGUCCCGUAACGAGCGCAACCCUUGUCCUCAGUUACCAGCGGUUCGGCCGGGAACUCUGGGGAGACUGCCGGUGACAAACCGGAGGAAGGUGGGGAUGACGUCAAGUCAUCAUGGCCCUUAUGGGCAGGGCUACACACGUGCUACAAUGGUAACUACAACGGGUUGCGAAAUCGUGAGGUCAAGCUAAUCCCUAAAAGGUUAUCUCAGUUCGGAUUGUAGUCUGCAACUCGACUACAUGAAGUCGGAAUCGCUAGUAAUCGCGGAUCAGAAUGCCGCGGUGAAUACGUUCCCGGGUCUU